CUUUGCUAGUAAAGCAGUCAACCGAUGUGAUCAGUUUCAGUGUUGAUCCUUCCAGCGCCUGUGGCAGCUGGGCAGGCCAAGCACUCUGGGAUCCUCAGGCCUGUUUCGCUUGUGGAUAGUUUCCCACAAGCCACUGCAGCCUGCAGAAAGCAGCAUGUGGCCCUCCUAGCCUGGAUCCUCAUCCCAGCUGCCAGCCUAGGUGCCCCAGUCUCCAGGGCCAGCUGACUCUAUUGUUACUGUGAAAUGGUCCAGACCAGAAAGUUCUGGGGGAUGGAAAGGAAUCUGCACUGCUGUGAGAAACACCAGCACCACAUUUUAUCAGUGAAAGGAAAAAUAAACAAAAGGCUGUUAGAACCUACAAGAUAAUUUCUAACUGUUGGAAAUUUUUGAAUGGUUAUUUGAAAAUCAAUAAAAGAUUUUGUAUCACCUGCUUUGUAUCGUCUGCUUGUGCAAAUAAAGUUUCCUG
This 466-nucleotide long non-coding RNA is filed under the name Bos taurus (domestic cattle). Its description in RNAcentral is "long non-coding RNA NONBTAT002959". Lineage: Eukaryota; Metazoa; Chordata; Mammalia; Artiodactyla; Bovidae. The record is from RNAcentral.